UACGUAGGGUGCGAGCGUUAAUCGGAAUUACUGGGCGUAAAGCGUGCGCAGGCGGUUCGUUGUGUCGGUGGUGAAAUCCCCGGGCUUAACCUGGGAAUGGCCAUGGAAACUGGCGAACUGGAGUGCGGCAGAGGGGGGUGGAAUUCCCGGUGUAGUGGUGAUAUGCGUAGAUAUCGGGAGGAACACCUGUGGCGAAGGCGGCUUUCUGGGCCUUACCUGACGCUGAGACGCGAAAGCGUGGGGAGCGAACCGG
Molecule: ribosomal RNA, 253 nt
Filed under: uncultured bacterium
Lineage: Bacteria
Description: partial 16S ribosomal RNA
Rfam family: Bacterial small subunit ribosomal RNA
Source: RNAcentral